Molecule: long non-coding RNA, 202 nt
Filed under: Panax ginseng (ginseng)
Lineage: Eukaryota; Viridiplantae; Streptophyta; Magnoliopsida; Apiales; Araliaceae
Description: long non-coding RNA (PGIN_LNC002166)
Source: RNAcentral
UUUCCACACUUGAUACAAGCUUGCUUCUUCUUCGGACUUGUCUUCUCAGAAUUAGGGCUAUCGUUGUCCCUCUUCCUCUUUUUCUUGUCCUUCUGCUGCUUGAUUGUUCCCUCAGACGAUCCUCCACCUUCAGCCUUCAUCUUCUCCACCUGCGCCUUCAGCUCAUUCCGUUCUUCAGUCAUUUCACGUAAUGCCCGCUCCG